UUGAGAGUUUGAUCCUGGCUCAGAACGAACGCUGGCGGCAGGCCUAACACAUGCAAGUCGAACGAACCCUUCGGGGUGAGUGGCGCACGGGUGCGUAACACGUGGGAAUAUACCCUUCAGUAUGGAACAACACAGAGAAAUUUGUGCUAAUACCAUAUAAUGACUCCGGUCCAAAGAUUUAUCGCUGAAGGAUUAGCCCGCGUUUGAUUAGAUUGUUGGUGAGGUAAGAGCUCACCAAGUCGACGAUCAAUAGCUGGUUUGAGAGGAUGAUCAGCCACACUGGAACUGAGACACGGUCCAGACUCCUACGGGAGGCAGCAGUGAGGAAUAUUGGACAAUGGGCGAAAGCCUGAUCCAGCCAUGCCGCGUGAGUGACGACGGCCUUAGGGUUGUAAAGCUCUUUCAGAUGCGAAGAUAAUGACGGUAACAUCAGAAGAAGCUCCGGCUAAAUUCGUGCCAGCAGCCGCGGUAAUACGAAUGGAGCAAGCGUUGUUCGGAAUCACUGGGCGUAAAGCGUACGUAGGCUGAUUUUCAAGUCAGAAGUGAAAGCCCAGGGCUCAACCCUGGAACUGCUUUUGAAACUGGAAGUCUAGAGUCCCGGAGAGGUUAGGGGAAUUCCGAGUGUAGCAGUGAAAUGCGCAGAUAUUCGGAGGAACACCAGUGGCGUAGGCGCCUAACUGGACGGGAACUGACGCUGAGGUACGAAAGCGUGGGGAGCAAACAGGAUUAGAUACCCUGGUAGUCCACGCCGUAAACGAUGUAUGCUAGUUGUUGGUAUCCAUAGGAUAUCAGUGACGAAGUUAACGCGAUACAUACCGCCUGGGGAGUACGGUCGCAAGAUUAAAACUCAAAGGAAUUGACGGGGACCCGCACAAGCGGUGGAGCAUGUUGUUUAAUUCGAAGCAACGCGAAGAACCUUACCUACACUUGACAUACUCGUCGGGAUUUCCAGAGAUGGAUUUCUUCGGUUCGGCCGGACGAGAUACAGGUGCUGCAUGGCUGUCGUCAGCUCGUGUCGUGAGAUGUUAGGUUAAGUCCUGCAACGAGCGCAACCCUUACUAUCUGUUGCCAUCAGGUUAAGCUGGGCACUCUGACGGGACUGCCGGUGAUAAGCCGGAGGAAGGCGGGGACGACGUCAAGUCAUCAUGGCCCUUACGGGUAGGGCUACAAACGUGCUACAAUGGCAGUGACAAUGGGCAGCGAACCCGCGAGGGGAAGCUAAUCUCCAAAAACUGUCUCAGUUCGGAUUGUUCUCUGCAACUCGAGAGCAUGAAGUCGGAAUCGCUAGUAAUCGUGGAUCAGCAUGCCACGGUGAAUACGUUCCCGGGUCUUGUACACACCGCCCGUCACACCAUGGGAAUUGGUUCUACCCGAAGGUGGUUUGCUAACCGCAAGGAGGCAGCCGGCCACGGUAAGGUCAGUAACUGGGACGAAGUCGUAACAAGGUAGCCGUAAAUC
Molecule: ribosomal RNA, 1458 nt
Filed under: uncultured prokaryote
Description: partial 16S ribosomal RNA
Rfam family: Bacterial small subunit ribosomal RNA
Source: RNAcentral